RNAcentral lists this ribosomal RNA (155 nucleotides) under uncultured bacterium. RNAcentral's name for it is "partial 16S ribosomal RNA". It matches the Rfam family "Bacterial small subunit ribosomal RNA", at positions 336 to 485 of the family's 1533-position model. The record is from RNAcentral.
CUCCUACGGGAGGCAGCAGUGGGGAAUAUUGGACAAUGGGCGAAAGCCUGAUCCAGCCAUGCCGCGUGUGUGAAGAAGGUCUUCGGAUUGUAAAGCACUUUAAGUUGGGAGGAAGGGCAGUAAAUUAAUACUGUGCAAUUUGACGUACCGACAGA